RNAcentral lists this ribosomal RNA (200 nucleotides) under uncultured organism. RNAcentral's name for it is "partial small subunit ribosomal RNA". It matches the Rfam family "Bacterial small subunit ribosomal RNA", at positions 1183 to 1382 of the family's 1533-position model. The record is from RNAcentral.
CGUCAAAUCAUCAUGCCCCUUAUGACCUGGGCUACACACGUGCUACAAUGGAUGGUACAAAGGGCUGCAAGACUGCGAAGUCAAGCCAAUCCCAUAAAACCAUUCUCAGUUCGGAUUGCAGGCUGCAACUCGCCUGCAUGAAGCUGGAAUCGCUAGUAAUGGCGUAUCAGAACGACGCCGUGAAUACGUUCCCGGGCCUU